UACGUAGGGUGCGAGCGUUGUCCGGAAUUAUUGGCGUAAAGAGCUCGUAGGCGGUCUGUCGCGUCGAUCGUGAAAACUUGGGGCUUAACCCUGAGCUUGCGGUCGAUACGGGCAUGACUGGAGUUCGGCAGAGGAGACUGGAAUUCCUGGUGUAGCGGUGAAAUGCGCAGAUAUCAGGAGGAACACCGGUGGCGAAGGCGGGUCUCUGGGCCGAUACUGACGCUGAGGAGCGAAAGCGUGGGGAGCGAACAGG
RNAcentral lists this ribosomal RNA (253 nucleotides) under uncultured bacterium. RNAcentral describes it as "partial 16S ribosomal RNA". It matches the Rfam family "Bacterial small subunit ribosomal RNA", at positions 524 to 776 of the family's 1533-position model. The record is from RNAcentral.